Molecule: ribosomal RNA, 491 nt
Filed under: uncultured bacterium
Lineage: Bacteria
Description: partial 16S ribosomal RNA
Rfam family: Bacterial small subunit ribosomal RNA
Source: RNAcentral
AGUGAACGCUGGCGGUAGGCCUAACACAUGCAAGUCGAACGGCAGCACAGUAAGAGCUUGCUCUUACGGGUGGCGAGUGGCGGACGGGUGAGGAAUACAUCGGAAUCUACUUUUUCGUGGGGGAUAACGUAGGGAAACUUACGCUAAUACCGCAUACGACCUACGGGUGAAAGCAGGGGAUCUUCGGACCUUGCGCGAUUGAAUGAGCCGAUGUCGGAUUAGCUAGUUGGCGGGGUAAAGGCCCACCAAGGCGACGAUCCGUAGCUGGUCUGAGAGGAUGAUCAGCCACACUUGAACUGAGACACGGUCCAGACUCCUACGGGAGGCAGCAGUGGGGAAUAUUGGACAAUGGGCGCAAGCCUGAGCCAGCCAUACCGCGUGGGUGAAGAAGGCCUUCGGGUUGUAAAGCCCUUUUGUUGGGAAAGAAAAGCAGCAGGUUAAGACCCCGCUGUUCGGACGGUACCCAAAGAAGAAGCACCGGCUAACUUCGU